GUGGGAGUCGCCUAGUGGCCAUGGCGGCAGCCUGCUAAGCUGUUCGCGCGCAAGCGCUUCGCGGGUUCGAAUCCCGCCUCCCACG
This 85-nucleotide transfer RNA is filed under the name Candidatus Micrarchaeota archaeon CG1_02_55_22. RNAcentral describes it as "tRNA-Ser". It matches the Rfam family "tRNA". From Rfam's summary of the family: Transfer RNA (tRNA) molecules are approximately 80 nucleotides in length. Their secondary structure includes four short double-helical elements and three loops (D, anti-codon, and T loops). Further hydrogen bonds mediate the characteristic L-shaped molecular structure. tRNAs have two regions of fundamental functional importance: the anti-codon, which is responsible for specific mRNA codon recognition, and the 3' end, to which the tRNAs corresponding amino acid is attached (by aminoacyl-tRNA synthetases). tRNAs cope with the degeneracy of the genetic code in two manners: having more than one tRNA (with a specific anti-codon) for a particular amino acid; and 'wobble' base-pairing, i.e. permitting non-standard base-pairing at the 3rd anti-codon position. The record is from RNAcentral. Lineage: Archaea; Nanobdellati; Microcaldota.